Callorhinus ursinus (northern fur seal) is the source of this 91-nucleotide non-coding RNA. NCBI's taxonomy places the organism in Eukaryota, Metazoa, Chordata, Mammalia, Carnivora, Otariidae. The record is from RefSeq and is a predicted model, not a curated record.
AUUCAUUGUUUAAACUAUCCUUGCUCAGAAUGAGCCAAUUCGCAAAGAUCCUAAGUUCCCCAAAGAAGCCAUUGAAAUUUUAAGUUUUUUU